AGGGAAUAUUGCGCAAUGGGCGGAAGCCUGACGCAGCGACGCCGCGUGAGCGAAGAAGGCCUUCGGGUCGUAAAGCUCUGUCCUUGGGGAAGAAGGCGAAAGCUUGACGGUACCCAAGAAGAAAGCCCCGGCUAACUACGUGCCAGCAGCCGCGGUAAUACGUAGGGGGCGAGCGUUGUCCGGAAUUACUGGGCGUAAAGGGUGCGUAGGCGGCCUUGUAAGUCAGAUGUGAAAGGCUGCGGCUUAACCGCAGGACUGCAUUUGAAACUGGAAGGCUUGAGUGUCGGAGAGGGUAGUGGAAUUCCCAGUGUAGCGGUGAAAUGCGUAGAUAUUGGGAGGAACACCAGUGGCGAAGGCGACUACCUGGACGAUAACUGACGCUGAGGCACGAAAGCUAGGGGAGCAAAC
This 408-nucleotide ribosomal RNA is filed under the name uncultured bacterium. RNAcentral's name for it is "bacterial SSU rRNA". It matches the Rfam family "Bacterial small subunit ribosomal RNA", at positions 356 to 773 of the family's 1533-position model. The record is from RNAcentral.